RNAcentral lists this unclassified non-coding RNA (1241 nucleotides) under Hevea brasiliensis (rubber tree). Lineage: Eukaryota; Viridiplantae; Streptophyta; Magnoliopsida; Malpighiales; Euphorbiaceae. The record is from RNAcentral.
AAAUGCCCUAAAUCAUAUAGUAAUAAUACGUAGACCGUACAUUGUUCUCUGAGUCUUCAAAUCGUUGAGGAAAUUGGGCACUUGUAGUUGUUGUUUCGUUUCGUCUUUUGCUAAAACUUAUGAUUGUGUUGAUACAGUGCUGGAGUUACUUGCAAAGUCAAGUCGAAACGUUGGAGUUGGAAACAUAAAAUGGGGGACGAGAAGGAUGCGUUCUAUGUCGUGCGCAAAGGGGAUGUGAUCGGGGUUUAUAAGAACUUGAGCGAUUUGCAAGCUUUGCUACGAACAUCUAUUGGUGAACCAGCCAUAAGCGUUUUUAAAGGGUAUCGCUUGACUAAGGAAUCUGAAGAGUAUCUGGCCUCUCAUGGACUCAAGAAUGCAAUGUAUUCUAUGGAUUUCAGUGAUGUUCGAGACGAUCUCUUUGGGACUCUCAUCCCAUGCCCAUUUCGGCAACCCGGCUCUUCAAAAGAUAAAAUUGUGGGGAAGAAUGUUCAGGAAAAGAGGAUGCAGAUGGAGUUGGUGGCAUCUCCUUCAUUUGCAGCUGCUGGUCAGCAAAAACUUGCUAAAUUGGACAAUUUCCUAGAAGCUCCCCCAAUUUCGUCAUAUCCUUCUCCCUACAUGCAGUGUUCAUGCAUCCUUGAGUUUGAUGGGGCUUCAAAGGGGAAUCCUGGUCUAGCUGGUGCUGGGGCUGUGCUGCGUGCUGCAGAUGGAAGUAUGGUUUUCCGGCUGCGUGAAGGUGUAGGUGUGGCAACUAACAAUGUUGCUGAAUACAGAGGCGUAAUCUUAGGACUAAGAUAUGCUCUUGAGAAAGGUUUCAAACACAUUAAAGUCAAGGGCGAUUCGAAACUUGUCUGCAUGCAGACUCAAGGAAUCUGGAAAUGCAAGAAUCAGAACAUGGCUGAGCUAUCCAAGAUUGUUAAAGAGCUUAAAGAUCAGUUUAUGUCUUUCCAGAUCAACCACAUGGACAGAGAAUCCAACACUGAAGCCGAUGCCCAGGCAAAUUUAGCCGUGUAUCUCAAGAAUGGCGAAAUUCAAGUGGAAUGUGACAUGAUAACUUAAUUAAGUCACCAACUACUACCUCAACUUGUUGGGAUUUAGGAAAUGAUGAAUGACCGCCAAGACAGACCAAUUUGGAUAUUCAGUUGUCUGAAACUACACUUGUAACAUGUAGAUAUAUGAUCUGAAUUAUGUGCAUGUAACCUAAUUAUGUAUCUGGAUUGAAAGUAGCUUCUGCUGUAACCUAA